ACCCUCAGCCCUUUCGCUCGCGUCGUGCUGGGGGCUGGCUUCUCCCAGGCUCUCGGAGCGCGCUGAGCCCGUGUCUUCCCACCUGUGUUCAUGGGGUGUCCACCCCUUGCAUGGGUUCUCUACUCCCUCCGCGCAGAGGGCCUGCCUUUUGUUGGUGUGAGCUGGAGCCGUGUCCAUCCCGAGUUCCAGAUUUUCUGCCUGCAGGCAUGUGCCUGCCCCUGCUGCUGAACCGCUCUGGCAUCGUGCCUUGUCCCUGACACUCCGCGGUCUGCUCCGUGUGGCCACCGCUGUAGCUGCCUCUGGCCACUAGACUGUCCGCUUCCAGACAGAAGGCCAGGCCGGGCUCCUGUGUGCAGGUGUGGUAACCAGCCACCAGAUGGGCCCGUCUUUGUCCUCUUCACUCCGGGAGCUGAUGCAAUUGACGUAUUUUUGACUUCGGAUUUUCCUCCCAGGAAUGGGCUUCUGUUUUCGUAUUCGCCCUGGGAUAUUAGGCUACUUCAGGACGUUGCUUUACUUCAUGUGUUACUGGUGGCAAAACUGAAGAUUCAGACCUCCAUGGUUUCUCACUUGAAUUAAGCCUGUGCUGGUGUGCUCUCUGCUGAAAUGUAGUUGAAACCGCUCCGAAAGGGGCCUUGUGGAUCCCGCACACAGAGUCCUUUAUGAGACUUGCUUCAUAGGAAAGCUUCCGAAACUGCUCUCGGGGGUGUGUGGUUAAUAGGUGUGAAGAAAGACAGAAGAAGACUGUUCUCUUGCCUUCUGUUGGAAGCACAUGCCAUAAACUAUCUCAGUUUGGUACCUUUUUUUUUUUUUUUUUAAACCUUGCAUGCUCUUUUUUGGAAUUGCAGGAAUUUAAUUUUGCUCAAGCUUCUUUUUUUGUUCCUCUGCAGGUUUGCCCUCAUAUAACCGAUGUAGGUACUUUUGUGGAGACAUUCUUUAUACCUGUACUUUAAAAGAUAAUAGUUCAUAUAUUGUUUUUAAGAUAUUUUUAUCAGAAUAGAGUUCCAGCUGUCCUGGGGAUUCUGUAUUAAGAAGUGGUGGGAUAUCAGACCGUAUAAGCAGACAGUUCCCUGCAGACCGGCCUUCCGGUCCCGGCACUGCUCCCGCCCCACAGGCCCGGUGUUGCGGCCGAGGGUGCUUGCUGCUGCGUGUGCCGCUGGGGCAGUUAGCGAUGCCUGCUCAGCUCCCUUCUGCCUGCGCGUGGGGAAGGGCCACUCAGCAGGCCCACGUUGUUCACAACCUGCUGCUUCCCAGGAGGGACUUUGAGGGCUGGCUGCGUCCUGGACGCGCACACCGAGAAGCGUGUUUUGUCCACCCGUGGCCUGGAGCUGAGCGACAGCCACUUGCCCGGGAGUCGAUACUAACAGUCUGACUUACGGCAAACACCUGCUCUCCCUCUGGGUCUCUGGAGCUUCCACGACGAACUCCCACGAGGAACUCCCACGAGAGAGCCUGGACUCCAGACUCGGGAGCUUCCCUGGUGGCCGUGACUGGGCAUGUGUCCUUACAACUCGGAGCUGGCGGAGGAAGCACUUCCUGGACAGCACUGGUGACCACGGGACUCCUCCCGGUGCCUUUUCCCUGUGGAGUUUACUGUGUCCUUUCUCUGUAACAGCCUGAGCGCUGGAGUCCUCGCGAGUCAUGGAGCUGAGGGUGUUGUCGACGCCGAGGACAGCCUGACCUCUCUGCUCUCUCCAGAAACACGCCCCGCCGGACUUCCAGAUGGAAACAAGAGAGUUAGGACUUGGUGGACUUGGCUUUGCUGACAGGUUGCUCUGUAACCUUGGGUGCAUUGCACUUCUGGCCCCAGUUUCUUUGGGUGUAGAGACUGGAAGACUGGAGGUCUAGAUCCUUUUCCCCCUUGAGCCAAGCCCCAGUCCACUGGGUCCCACAACUGCCACGUACAGAACUGGGAGGCAGUGUGUCCGCCCGGACUGAGCUUACGGUGUUUCGCUAAUCGUCCCUAGGAUUGUUUCUGUUUUCAUUAAUGUAAAUACUGUAGCGAUUUGACCCCAGAUUUCACAGAGCCAGUUUCUAGAGCUCACACAUAUCACAUCCAGGGUACGGGCAUCUUUAAUGCUGAUGGUCAGGAUUUAGAUUGCUUUUCGGAAAGGCCAUGUUUCUAGUCGUGCUCUUUGAAGCUGUAGUUGAAGAAAACUGGAGAAGUGUGGAGUUUGCUGAACCAGAGUCUUGGAGAUUCUGUGCACCGAGUGCCAGUGCCCUGUGCCCAAGCCUGCAGCACUUGCCACACCUCUGUUGGCAGAAAAGCCCAGCAAGGCUAGGAGUUCCUGGUCUGAUGAAGUAAAGUGGAAAGACAUCACCAGUGAUGAUGUUUUAAAAAGUCUGAUUUUUAUUUAUUUAUUUAUUUAUUUGUCCCGAAAGAUUUCAAGUAGUUCGGUAUCUCAGUUGUGGAAAUGUUGGGUGUCAUGAAGUCGUAACCCUCAGCCACUCACUGAACCCACCGUUUACGCUUGUGGUUAACAGGACAUAAUUUCAAGAACAAACUCUUUGGAGGGUGGAAGACUACGUUACCACAGAGCAGAAUGGGCUUUUCCCUUUGAGAAUGGGGAGUCCGGCAGGCAUUUGUGUGCUUGAGGGUAAAGAGGGGAAGCGGUAGUGCUUUCUGGUGGGGACGGUCUCCUCCUCAGCAGCUACAGAUGGUUCCCUCGGCGGUCGCCAUUUGCUUAGCGUGGCCCCUUAGAGCUGCGGCACCGUUCUCAGGGCGUGGGCGAAAACAGUGUACGAGAUUUACACGGACAGGCAGUCCUCUGUUUUCUUUAGCUCUUGAGAUGAAAUUAAAGCAGGACUUGUCGGUACAGGGAUCACGUAUUCCUAAGUAGAAAUCUGACGAGAACUUUCUCCAAAUGAGCGGUUCUGACAUCCAACCAUGUUCGUGUCUGGGAAGAGCAGACAGGAAUGUUUGAAACUAGGGAUGGUCCAGAAAAUCCGGGCUAGAGGGUCACUGGGGGUGCAGGGCUUGUGGAAAACGUCUCCGUGUGUAGUGUGCCCUGUUCUCAGGGAGCUGUGUUAGCACUGUGCCGUGCUUUCUUCCAGAACACUCUUCUCCAGAAGACUCGGGUUCCCCGCCUGACUCAGGCGCGUCUGAGGCGCACUGCACGGGACAUACGAUGUGUCCCCACGCUGCGGUGUAUCCGCGUCACU
Molecule: long non-coding RNA, 3159 nt
Organism: Lutra lutra (Eurasian river otter)
Lineage: Eukaryota; Metazoa; Chordata; Mammalia; Carnivora; Mustelidae
Exons: 2
Source: RefSeq, a predicted model, not a curated record